Molecule: ribosomal RNA, 169 nt
Filed under: uncultured Magnetospirillum sp.
Lineage: Bacteria; Pseudomonadati; Pseudomonadota; Alphaproteobacteria; Rhodospirillales; Rhodospirillaceae
Description: partial 16S ribosomal RNA
Rfam family: Bacterial small subunit ribosomal RNA
Source: RNAcentral
CCUACGGGAGGCAGCAGUGGGGAAUACUGGACAAUGGGCGCAAGCCUGAUCCAGCAAUGCCGCGUGAGUGAGGAAGGCCUUAGGGUUGUAAAGCUCUUUCGGCGGGGACGAUGAUGACGGUACCCGCAGAAGAAGCCCCGGCUAACUUCGUGCCAGCAGCCGCGGUAAU